AGUGAACGCUGGCGGUAGGCCUAACACAUGCAAGUCGAACGGCAGCACAGGAGAGCUUGCUCUCUGGGUGGCGAGUGGCGGACGGGUGAGGAAUACAUCGGAAUCUACUUUUUCGUGGGGGAUAACGUAGGGAAACUUACGCUAAUACCGCAUACGACCUACGGGUGAAAGCAGGGGAUCUUCGGACCUUGCGCGAUUGAAUGAGCCGAUGUCGGAUUAGCUAGUUGGCGGGGUAAAGGCCCACCAAGGCGACGAUCCGUAGCUGGUCUGAGAGGAUGAUCAGCCACACUGGAACUGAGACACGGUCCAG
Molecule: ribosomal RNA, 310 nt
Filed under: uncultured bacterium
Lineage: Bacteria
Description: bacterial SSU rRNA
Rfam family: Bacterial small subunit ribosomal RNA
Source: RNAcentral